GACAGGGUUUCUCCGUAGCUCGUAGUCCUGGAACUAGCUCUUGUAGUCCAGGCUGGCCUUGAACUCACAGAGAUCCGCCUGCCUCUGCCUCCCGAGUGCUCAUCUGAUUUUUUGAAGAUCACUGAUGCACUUUAGAGAGGUGGAGGAUAGAUGUGCCUGCACAGCACUGGUUUCCACCCGACCUAAACGAUGGGCCAGCACGUAUGCUGUGCACAGCGGUGGUGCCCUGUGCGCUUUCCCACAAUUCCUAUCACUUCUCAUUGUGCAAUGCUUGGCUGGUUUUAUUCUUUUAUACUGCCGUGUGGAGACGCUGGAGUUUAUAGGCCUGAUUAAGAUCGAAAUUCCAGUUCUUGGACUUCUCGGUGUUGCAAUGUUUGUCCAAUGGGGAAUCUAUUUUUUUUUUUAACGAAGAUGAAAGUUACUGAAAUUGAACUUGUGAACAGACAUGCUAAUACUUGUUUUCCUUUCGGGAAAGAGGAGAACACGGAGCUAGGAGAUACACCUGAAGUUACUGUGCUUGCCCUUGGGUGAAGAAGACAAGAAGCAGGAUGUGAGCACAGACACAAAUGCAUGAUGGGAAACAACCAGCUAAGAGGAAGGAGGACGCUCCCACAUUCCCCUGAAAAGACAGCCCAUCCUCAAGGGAUUUCCUAACCUGCUAGAGUAAAAGAAGCAUCUGCUGAAUCAAGUGUGGACCAAAGCUGCAAGACCAGGCUGGCCCUGAACCCACACCUGCCGGGAUUAAAGGUGUGCACAGCCACCUCCCAGCUCCUCUGCACACUCUUGAGGCCUGAGGAGUCAGAGGAGUCAGACUCCAAGUUUCUGCUUCUUCCCUAAACUCUGAACAGGGAGACGAUGGAGACUCUCUCCUCCUCUGUAGACCAGGCUUAAAGAAGCAGAGCAAAUACAGAACCAGAUGGGGCAAUCCAUAAACAAAGGCAAAACUCUGAAGCCUUGCUUGCUCGUGAGAGCACUGACUGUCCUAGCUGUGCUCCUCAAGGAUCCUAAAAGAAGAGAAGCACCCAGCGUCCAGGCAGAAUACUAGAGACAGACACAUUUUUAAAAAAUCCUCAGGGGAAGUAGAAAAAGACAAGAUCUCCUGAGUCAAUUGCCCUCAGUGUCCUCACUCUUGGGCAUUUCCAGCCAGCUCUCCUGUUCUAUCACACAGAUGUGUGCCUGAUUCUCAAGUAGAAGGAGACGCAAUUUCCAGCAAACAUGGGGCAUGUAUAGUUAAGGAUGCUUAAAAUAAUCCAGUUUAUAAUACAAAAUGCAGAAAGUAAAAGACAAAAAUAUCGUUUGCUGGUUAAAACGCAUCCUUGAGAUUAUGGAGUUUUAGACUUUGGGGAUACCACAGGACGACGUGAUGUAAACAGCUUGCAACAGGAAAGAUCCGCAGUAAUGUGUGCUAACAAGCCACAGAGAACACUGGGUGUGUUCAGACGAGAACAGCGCUAACAGUUGUCCCAUACAGGAGCACUGACCAGGUGCCAGGAACUACGUGCAUGGACCCACACGGACUACUUCAACUGAUCCCCACAGCAUCUUUAGGAAGCCAACCCCAUUAUUAUCUGCAUUUUAUAGCAGAGAAAACUAAGGCUUGCCUAACUUGUCUAGAUGCCAAACAAGCUGGGGAACUGGGAUUUGAAUCUCCACGGACUGGGUGAAGCCAAAGCCUGAGCUCUUAAACACCACAUUACACAGUGUCUCAGGAAUCCAACAAAAGAUGGAAGAUACCUCUCAGAAUAUACACUUCAUUUUAAAAUAUGCAAGUGGAAAUCAAUCUGUAGUUUUCAUAAAUAUGUGUCGGCUAUCUUUGCCAGUGGAGUAACUUCUCAUUGUGAAUAUACAGACAAGGUUUGGUUGGGUUCACAUUUCCUAGUUUCUCAAUCACUACUUUGCUCUUAGUGACUACUGAGUCACUAAGAACUCAUAUCACACAAAACCUAGCAUUUGGAGUUAGGGAAAUCUUGUCUUUGGAGAGAUUUUUUUUUUCAGUGCAUGCACUUGUAACAGGUUUCUCAAGUCCAGUUCCGGAGGCCAGAGAGCCCUAACACUACCCUGCCCUAAGCUGACCCCACACCGUCCACUCUCAUGGCUCCAGGGCCAAUAUCACUGUGCCUGUUUCUCCACGCUUGCAUAACCACCACAAAAGUAGCUGGGCAGCCCUGGCGCUCUGCCCAUUAAUCCUUCUGUGGCCACACGUUUUUUCCAGCUGCUCCCAAUCCUCCACCUUUCCAUUCUCCCUCCCCGGCAAGCUCGGACUCUAUCAUCAACUACAUGUCCACAGUCCAAACACCCGAACCUCUUUUCUCAAAUUUCCUCCUCUCCUCAGAGAGAAGUCCCCAGGGCAGGCCUCUCACUGGUUGCUGCUCUAGCUCUUGGCACGUGUUCCACUGGGCCAGGCUCAGCAACACCACUUCAAAUGUGCUCCUCACCUCUCCCUAAACGCUGAGCCUUCUGCCAUCAGACCGCAUCGGUCACCAGGCUUCGUCGUACGCCAGUUCUCAAGAUUCCCAUCACUGGGAAGCUGGAUGAAUUUAGCCCCUGACUCACAGCCAUAUCUUCUCAUCACUAUUCUCAGUGGUACGGGGGCACAAGCCCAUAAUCCUGGCACUCAGGAGGCUGAGACAGGAGGAUGGCGACUUCAAGGUCAAUCUGACAGACGGAGACUGUACUGAAGCAAAAGGACCUUCAGGUGGUGGAGGCACGUGCCUUUAAUCCCAGCACUCAGAGGCAGGGUUGAUCUCUGUAAGUUUGCAGACAGCCUGGUCUACAGAGCGAGUUCCAGGACAGCCAGGACUACACAGAGAAACUCUGCCUCAGGAAAAAAAAAAUUUGCCCAGUAGCAGGUGUUAAUAAAAUGUUGUAUCAUAUUUAAAAA
Long non-coding RNA from Alexandromys fortis (reed vole), 2881 nucleotides. RefSeq lists it as uncharacterized. The transcript is spliced from 5 exons. NCBI's taxonomy places the organism in Eukaryota, Metazoa, Chordata, Mammalia, Rodentia, Cricetidae. The record is from RefSeq and is a predicted model, not a curated record.